This 466-nucleotide non-coding RNA is filed under the name Veillonella sp. oral taxon 780 str. F0422. RNAcentral's name for it is "Bacterial large subunit ribosomal RNA". It matches the Rfam family "Bacterial large subunit ribosomal RNA", at positions 1 to 475 of the family's 2925-position model. The record is from Rfam by way of RNAcentral. Lineage: Bacteria; Bacillati; Bacillota; Negativicutes; Veillonellales; Veillonellaceae.
AGUAAAGAUAGUAAGGGCAUACGGUGGAUGCCUUGGCUAUACUGGCCGAAGAAGGACGCGGUAAGCUGCGAAAAGCUACGGAGAGGUGCAAGCGACCAUUGACCCGUAGAUAUCCGAAUGGGGGAACCCGGCAGAGAAAAGCUCUGUCACCCAUACCAGAGAGUAUGAGGAGGGCACCUGGGGAACUGAAACAUCUAAGUACCCAGAGGAAAAGUAAUCAAACGAGAUUCUCUUAGUAGCGGCGAGCGAACGGGGAAGAGCCCAAACCGGACUGGUUCGCCAGACCGGGGUUGAGGACUGCUAACAAGCAUAAAUGGGAUAGACGAACCGACUUGGAACGGUCGGCCGAAGAAGGUGAAAGCCCUGUAGUCGAAAUCCUGCAUAUGUGGAGCAGUAUCCAGAGUACCACGAGACACGUGAAACCUUGUGGGAAGCAGGGGGGACCACCCUCCAAGGCAAAAUACCA